UACGGUUAUGUCACGUUGAAACACCUGUACUUGUCAGAUCAUCGAAGAGAAGCAACAUCGAGCCAGGUCACUACCCUGAUAGGUGACCACUUUGGAAUAACAGGUGCCGUAG
This is a non-coding RNA of Acanthosepion pharaonis, 112 nucleotides long. Lineage: Eukaryota; Metazoa; Mollusca; Cephalopoda; Sepiida; Sepiidae. The record is from the annotation of a GenBank genome assembly.